Molecule: ribosomal RNA, 492 nt
Filed under: uncultured bacterium
Lineage: Bacteria
Description: partial 16S ribosomal RNA
Rfam family: Bacterial small subunit ribosomal RNA
Source: RNAcentral
AGUGAACGCUGGCGGUAGGCCUAACACAUGCAAGUCGAACGGCAGCACAGUAAGAGCUUGCUCUUACGGGUGGCGAGUGGCGGACGGGUGAGGAAUACAUCGGAAUCUACUUUUUCGUGGGGGAUAACGUAGGGAAACUUACGCUAAUACCGCAUACGACCUACGGGUGAAAGCAGGGGAUCUUCGGACCUUGCGCGAUUGAAUGAGCCGAUGUCGGAUUAGCUAGUUGGCGGGGUAAAGGCCCACCAAGGCGACGAUCCGUAGCUGGUCUGAGAGGAUGAUCAGCCACACUGGAACUGAGACACGGUCCAGACUCCUACAGGAGGCAGCAGUGGGGAAUAUUGGACAAUGGGCGAAAGCCUGAUCCAGCCAUACCGCGUGGGGGAAGAAGGCCUUCGGGUUGUAAAGCCCUUUUGUUGGGAAAGAAAAGCAGCAGGUUAAUACCCCGCUGUUCUGACGGUACCCAAAGAAUAAGCACCGGCUAACUUCGUG